Molecule: ribosomal RNA, 468 nt
Filed under: uncultured bacterium
Lineage: Bacteria
Description: bacterial SSU rRNA
Rfam family: Bacterial small subunit ribosomal RNA
Source: RNAcentral
GCUCCAGACUCCUACGGGAGGCAGCAGUGAGGAAUAUUGGUCAAUGGGCGCGAGCCUGAACCAGCCAAGUCGCGUGAGGGAUGAAGGAUCUAUGGUUCGUAAACCUCUUUUAUAAGGGAAUAAAGUGCGGGACGCGUCCCGCUUCGCAUGUACCUUAUGAAUAAGGAUCGGCUAACUCCGUGCCAGCAGCCGCGGUAAUACGGAGGAUCCGAGCGUUAUCCGGAUUUAUUGGGUUUAAAGGGUGCGCAGGCGGAGGUGCAAGUCAGUGGUCAAAUUGCGGGGCUCAACCCCGUACUGCCGUUGAAACUGCAUCCCUUGAGUGCGCGAGAAGUAUGCGGAAUGCGCGGUGUAGCGGUGAAAUGCAUAGAUAUCGCGCAGAACUCCGAUUGCGAAGGCAGCAUGCCGGCUCCACACUGACGCUGAGGCACGAAAGCGUGGGUAUCGAACAGGAUUAGAUACCCCCGUAGA